This 568-nucleotide ribosomal RNA is filed under the name uncultured soil bacterium. RNAcentral's name for it is "bacterial SSU rRNA". It matches the Rfam family "Bacterial small subunit ribosomal RNA", at positions 1 to 553 of the family's 1533-position model. The record is from RNAcentral.
AAUUCGCCCUUAGAGUUUGAUCAUGGCUCAGAGUGAACGCUGGCGGCAGGCCUAACACAUGCAAGUCGAACGGCAGCGCAGCAGUAGCAAUACUGUGGGCGGCGAGUGGCGGACGGGUGAGGAAUACAUCGGAAUCUACCCUGUCGUGGGGGAUAACGUAGGGAAACUUACGCUAAUACCGCAUACGACCCACGGGUGAAAGCGGCGGACCGCAAGGCGUCGCGCGACUGGAUGAGCCGAUGUCCGAUUAGCUAGUUGGCGGGGUAAGAGCCCACCAAGGCGACGAUCGGUAGCUGGUCUGAGAGGAUGAUCAGCCACACUGGAACUGAGACACGGUCCAGACUCCUACGGGAGGCAGCAGUGGGGAAUAUUGGACAAUGGGCGCAAGCCUGAUCCAGCCAUGCCGCGUGUGUGAAGAAGGCCUUCGGGUUGUAAAGCACUUUUGUUGGGGAAGAAAAGACACCGGUUAAUACCCGGGGGUUUCUGACGGUACCCAAAGAAUUAGCACCGGCUAACUUCGUGCCAGCAGCCGUGGUAAUACGAACGGUGCAAGCGUUACUCGGGAAUU